RNA transcript from Mesocricetus auratus (golden hamster), 1691 nucleotides. It is a transcript of the gene named UDP-GlcNAc:betaGal beta-1,3-N-acetylglucosaminyltransferase like 1, with no coding region annotated. NCBI's taxonomy places the organism in Eukaryota, Metazoa, Chordata, Mammalia, Rodentia, Cricetidae. The transcript has 14 exons. The record is from RefSeq and is a predicted model, not a curated record.
CCGCCCUGGCUGCUCCGGUUGAGGCCGGCGGCUUGCCCGCGGGCUCACGAGUCCUUGGUAAACCAAGAGGCCAUCUCGCUUUGCUCUCUGCGUGAAGCAACGCCCUCUAUGACUGACGUGUCUCUGAACCUAUAGAACGUAGCUAUUUUCUGCCUCUGCACGGCCAGUGCCUAGCAAUCCACGUGGAGCUGCGCCAAUCGGAAGUGGUCCAGUGUCUGCACCGCCUCCCGGAGCUCGCUGUGCACGCCUUGGCUGCCUUAGCAGGACGCGCGUGCAGAAGAAGGGCGGUGGAGCCCUGCCAUGCAGCUCCCAAAGGACGCCACCGGGCACAGCCCGCUGGCCUCAGUGUCUAUUAUCCUCCCAGUGCACAAUGCUGAACAGUGGUUGGAUGAGUGCUUGGCAUCUGUUUUGCAGCAAGACUUUGAAGGCACCAUGGAGCUCUCUGUCUUUAAUGAUGCCAGCAAGGACAAGUCUAGGACCAUCAUUGAAAAAUGGAAAGUGAAACUGGAAGAUUCUGGCAUCUCUGUAGUCAUUGGAGGCCAUGACUCUCCUUCUCCCAGAGGAGUUGGAUAUUCUAAAAACCAAGCAAUCGCACAGAGCACAGGGUCUUACCUUUGCUUUUUGGAUUCAGAUGAUGUUAUGAUGCCCCAGAGAGUAAGGCUACAGCAUGAAGCUGCUGUUCAGCACCCAACGAGUAUCAUAGGAUGCCAAGUAAGGAGAGACCCUCCAGACUCUACAGAGCGAUACACUCGUUGGAUCAACCAGUUGACAUCUGAUCAGCUGUUGACACAGGUGUUCACCUCCCACGGCCCCACAGUGAUCAUGCCCACCUGGUUCUGCUCUCGCGCCUGGUUUUCCCAUGUGGGCCCAUUUGAUGAAGGAGGACGGGGGGUACCAGAGGACCUGCUGUUCUUCUAUGAGCACCUUAGGAAAGGGGGUGGUGUAUUCCGGGUGGACCACAAACUGCUCCUCUACCGCUACCACCUGUAUGCCACCACACAUUCAGUCCUUGAGAUGACCAUCUGGAUCCACCGCGUCCACUUUCUAGAGGAACGGGUCCUGCCUCGUUGGAAGUCCUUCACCAUUUGGAAUGCAGGCAAGCAGGGGCGAAGGUUGUACCGCAGCCUGACUGCAGCCAGCCGGCGCAAGGUGGUGGCCUUCUGUGAUGUUGAUGAGAACAAAAUCAGGAAGGGCGUCUACUGCCACGAGGACUCUCAGGAAAGACCCAAGCCGAAGGUCCCCAUCCUGCACUUCCAAGCUGCCAAGUCACCCUUUGUCAUCUGUGUGAAACUGCAGGCGAUAGUCAGCAUUCCUGCCACCCACCAUCCUGCUCCAGCUUUGGGUCCAGGAUAGUCUUAUUCUAAAGACCCCUCACUGCAAGUGCUGGACCUCACAGGGGGUGAGUUUGAAGACAACCUGAAGUCACUGCACUUGCAGGAAGGCCAGGACUUCGUUCAUUUCAGCUGAGGCUGCUGCCAAGUGCUCUACACUGCAGGGUUUUUCUGUGUGGUCCUGGAUCUCACUAUGCAGACUGUUGUCCAACUCAGAGAGACCUGCCUGCCUCUGCUGGAAUUAAAGGUGUGCACACCACUCAUGACGACCCAGGGUUUCUCGCAUGCAACAUCCCUAGUCCUGUGGCUUUACUUUUGGAAAUUGUUCUUUUAUAUUGGUUCUAAAAUUACUGGCAGUGA